This 404-nucleotide ribosomal RNA is filed under the name Verrucomicrobiota bacterium. RNAcentral's name for it is "Verrucomicrobia bacterium partial 16S ribosomal RNA". It matches the Rfam family "Bacterial small subunit ribosomal RNA", at positions 355 to 776 of the family's 1533-position model. The record is from RNAcentral. Lineage: Bacteria; Pseudomonadati; Verrucomicrobiota.
UGGGGAAUAUUGCACAAUGGGGGAAACCCUGAUGCAGCGACGCCGCGUGAGCGAAGAAGGUUUUCGAAUCGUAAAGCUCUGUCCUAUGAGAAGAUAUUGACGGUUUAAUAGGAGGAAGCCCCGGCUAAAUACGUGCCAGCAGCCGCGGUAAUACGUAGGGCGCAAGCGUUAUCCGGAAUUAUUGGGCGUAAAGAGCUUGUAGGCGGUUCGUCGCGUCUGGUGUGAAAGCCCAUCGCUUAACGGUGGGUUUGCGCCGGGUACGGGCGGGCUAGAGUGCAGUAGGGGAGACUGGAAUUCCCGGUGUAACGGUGGAAUGUGUAGAUAUCGGGAAGAACACCAAUGGCGAAGGCAGGUCUCUGGGCUGUUACUGACGCUGAGAAGCGAAAGCGUGGGGAGCGAACAGG